GAUGAACGCUGGCGGCGUGCCUAAUACAUGCAAGUCGAGCGAACAGACGAGGAGCUUGCUCCUCUUACGUUAGCGGCGGACGUGUGAGUAACACGUGGAUAACCUACCUAUAAGACUGGGAUAACUUCGGGAAACCGGAGCUAAUACCGGAUAAUAUAUUGAACCGCAUGGUUCAAUAGUGAAAGACGGUUUUGCUGUCACUUAUAGAUGGAUCCGCGCCGCAUUAGCUAGUUGGUAAGGUAACGGCUUACCAAGGCAACGAUGCGUAGCCGACCUGAGAGGGUGAUCGGCCACACUGGAACUGAGACACGGUCCAGACUCCUACGGGAGGCAGCAGUAGGGAAUCUUACGCAAUGGGCGAAAGCCUGACGGAGCAACGCCGCGUGAGUGAUGAAGGUCUUCGGAUCGUAAAACUCUGUUAUUAGGGAAGAACAAAUGUGUAAGUAACUAUGCACGUCUUGACGGUACCUAAUCAGAAAGCCACGGCUAACUACGUG
This 497-nucleotide ribosomal RNA is filed under the name uncultured bacterium. RNAcentral's name for it is "partial 16S ribosomal RNA". It matches the Rfam family "Bacterial small subunit ribosomal RNA", at positions 28 to 507 of the family's 1533-position model. The record is from RNAcentral.